Molecule: ribosomal RNA, 465 nt
Filed under: Vreelandella stevensii
Lineage: Bacteria; Pseudomonadati; Pseudomonadota; Gammaproteobacteria; Oceanospirillales; Halomonadaceae
Description: partial 16S ribosomal RNA
Rfam family: Bacterial small subunit ribosomal RNA
Source: RNAcentral
CCUACGGGCGGCUGCAGUGGGGAAUAUUGGACAAUGGGGGCAACCCUGAUCCAGCCAUGCCGCGUGUGUGAAGAAGGCCCUCGGGUUGUAAAGCACUUUCAGUGAGGAAGAACGCCUGGUGGUUAAUACCCAUCAGGAAAGACAUCACUCACAGAAGAAGCACCGGCUAACUCCGUGCCAGCAGCCGUGGUAAUACGGAGGGUGCGAGCGUUAAUCGGAAUUACUGGGCGUAAAGCGCGCGUAGGUGGCUUGAUAAGCCGGUUGUGAAAGCCCCGGGCUCAACCUGGGAACGGCAUCCGGAACUGUCAAGCUAGAGUGCAGGAGAGGAAGGUAGAAUUCCCGGUGUAGCGGUGAAAUGCGUAGAGAUCGGGAGGAAUACCAGUGGCGAAGGCGGCCUUCUGGACUGACACUGACACUGAGGUGCGAAAGCGUGGGUAGCAAACAGGAUUAGAUACCCUGGUAGUC